UACGUCCUACGGGGCGCAGCAGUGAGGAAUAUUGGUCAAUGGGCUUACGCCUGAACCAGCCAUGCCGCGUGCAGGACGACGGCUCUACGAGUUGUAAACUGCUUUUGUACCGGGGUAAAAUGCCUUACGAGUAGGGUUUUGAAAGUACGGUACGAAUAAGGAUCGGCUAACUCCGUGCCAGCAGCCGCGGUAAUACGGAGGAUCCGAGCGUUAUCCGGAUUCAUUGGGUUUAAAGGGUGCGUAGGUUGUUUUAUAAGUUAGCGGUGAAAUACCGAUGCUCAACAUCGGGGCUGCCGCUAAUACUG
RNAcentral lists this ribosomal RNA (305 nucleotides) under uncultured bacterium. Its description in RNAcentral is "bacterial SSU rRNA". It matches the Rfam family "Bacterial small subunit ribosomal RNA", at positions 333 to 635 of the family's 1533-position model. The record is from RNAcentral.